GGCUCGAGUCCGAUGCUCACCUCGGGUCCCGGCCGGUAAUAAACUCCUGUGUGGAUUUAAUAUCAGUCUCUGGUUGGUUCUCUCUCACCGGGUGCAGCACUCUGUCCAUCUGAUAAUUCAAUACAUGAAGAUUUUGCUGAAUAAGGUCUGGUGUAUAGCAUGGUGGCUGGAUAUGCAUAGACAAGAAAUGACCAUCACAGCAUCCUUAGACCCCAUUUUGCAUUGCUUCUGUGGUAAUCCUGCAUCCUACCCGAGAAUUCUGAAGUCACAGAUCCUUCUAACUGCAGUUACUGUGUUCCUGGAUGAGAAUGUGCCUUGAAUCUCAGAAGAGACUUUGAACUUGAACUUUUCAACAAUGCUUAAACAGGAAUGUAUCCAUUUCUUCUAGAUUCUCCAAUUCAUCAGAAUUACCAGAGAUUGAACUCAAGACCUUGCGCUUGCGAGGGAGGUGUGGUGCCACUGAGGUAAAUCCCCAGCCCUCAGUUUAUUUUAAAUGAUAAAAUAAAGAAGACCACUGUGAAAAUUUUUGACAAAUUUUAAAAUAAAGAAAAUAAAUGUCAUGUAA
This 565-nucleotide long non-coding RNA is filed under the name Heterocephalus glaber (naked mole-rat). Its description in RNAcentral is "lncRNA (ENSHGLG00000044251.1)". Lineage: Eukaryota; Metazoa; Chordata; Mammalia; Rodentia; Bathyergidae. The record is from RNAcentral.